This 301-nucleotide ribosomal RNA is filed under the name uncultured bacterium. RNAcentral describes it as "partial 16S ribosomal RNA". It matches the Rfam family "Bacterial small subunit ribosomal RNA", at positions 509 to 809 of the family's 1533-position model. The record is from RNAcentral.
CAGUCGCCACGGUAAAACGUAGGGUGCGAGCGUUAAUCGGAAUUACUGGGCGUAAAGCGUGCGCAGGCGGCUUGGUAAGUUAGAGGUGAAAGCCCAGGGCUCAACCCUGGAAUUGCCUUUAAGACUGCCGAGCUAGUAGGUGAGAGAGGUAAGUGGAAUUCCGAGUGUAGAGGUGAAAUCCGUAGAUAUUCGGAAGAACACCAGUGGCGAAGGCGGCUUACUGGCUCAUUCUAGACGCUGAGGUGCGAAAGCGUGGGGAGCAAACAGGAUUAGAUACCCGUGUAGUCCCUGUCUCUUAUAA